ACGGAGAGGGAGCUUGCUCCUUGAUUCAGCGGCGGACGGGUGAGUAAUGCCUAGGAAUCUGCCUGGUAGUGGGGGACAACGUUUCGAAAGGAACGCUAAUACCGCAUACGUCCUACGGGAGAAAGCAGGGGACCUUCGGGCCUUGCGCUAUCAGAUGAGCCUAGGUCGGAUUAGCUUGUUGGUGAGGUAAUGGCUCACCAAGGCGACGAUCCGUAACUGGUCUGAGAGGAUGAUCAGUCACACUGGAACUGAGACACGGUCCAGACUCCUACGGGAGGCAGCAGUGGGGAAUAUUGGACAAUGGGCGAAAGCCUGAUCCAGCCAUGCCGCGUGUGUGAAGAAGGUCUUCGGAUUGUAAAGCACUUUAAGUUGGGAGGAAGGGUUGUAGAUUAAUACUCUGCAAUUUUGACGUUACCGACAGAAUAAGCACCGGCUAACUCUGUGCCAGCAGCCCCGGUAAUACAGAGGGUGCAAGCGUUAAUCGGAAUUACUGGGCGUAAAGCGCGCGUAGGUGGUUUGUUAAGUUGGAUGUGAAAGCCCCGGGCUCAAC
This 550-nucleotide ribosomal RNA is filed under the name Pseudomonas fulva. Its description in RNAcentral is "bacterial SSU rRNA". It matches the Rfam family "Bacterial small subunit ribosomal RNA", at positions 66 to 613 of the family's 1533-position model. The record is from RNAcentral. Lineage: Bacteria; Pseudomonadati; Pseudomonadota; Gammaproteobacteria; Pseudomonadales; Pseudomonadaceae.